This is a non-coding RNA of Podarcis lilfordi (Lilford's wall lizard), 5628 nucleotides long. Lineage: Eukaryota; Metazoa; Chordata; Lepidosauria; Squamata; Lacertidae. The record is from the annotation of a GenBank genome assembly.
AACCGACGGCGCCCUGGGCGCGCGGGGAGCAGGCACCGGGCAGGCCGGCGGGCGGGGAGGGCCCCUCUCGUCUUGCGCCGCCGCCGCCGGGGCUCCCGGGCCAGGCGCGGCUUCCGCCUCGGGGACCCGGCGCGGCCCGGACUUUCUUGGCGGACUUUCUUGGCGGGACGGCGACUGGGUGGUGGGCGCCGAGGAGCCGCUCCGCCCGGCGACGCCAGCCCCUUCCCCCUCCGGGCAGCCAUGUUCUGGGCGGGCGGGCUGCGCGCUGCGAAGGGCCCUCGCUCCGGGGCGCAGCGGACGCCUGGUGGCCCGAGGCGAGGCGAGGGCAGGCCCGCUCCCUGCGCCGGCAUCUGCCCAGCAGGGCUGGGCCCCGAAACCCCAGGAUAACAGGAGAGAGGGGGAAACAGGUCUGCUCCCGAGCCCUCUCUGCGCAGCUUCAGGUCGCCUCUCCGCCGGUUGCUCUCGAUAGAUUUGAACUACCGUGAUAGUUGCUUCUGAAUUGUGACAGCAUUUUAUUAUUAGAUUAUAGUAUUUGAGAGGCAACGUAAGGCCAAACAUGUCGCUCAGAUCCCUUUUUUUAAAAAGGGAAAUGACAGGUAAAGGGUCCCCAAAGGCUUUGGAAUAGCUGGAGAUGCCCCUGGGCUGGAAGAACCAUUUCAGAUGAGACAUUCCUCCAUCCCUACCCCCAUCUCCUGCCGCACAGCACAGGGCAGGUACCGAGGUCGUGCGGGGAAAAGCAGCAAAGGGGGAAGGCAAGAUUUGGAACAGAAAUGGAGAAGAGAAAGGGGGGCAGGGAGUGAACUGAAAGGAUCCUGGGGGUGUCUUGAGAGAUCUGGUGCAAGGCAACAAAGCUGUGGCUUACAGGAGUGCUCUGCUGUUUGUGUCCAUCUGUGCUCAAAUUUGUAUGACUAUAAAUCAACCUAAACGUUGCAAAACCACCAAAUGUCUCCAAUGACCAUUCCCUUCAAAAGAGGCCAAACCCCCAGAAAAUGCCGUCCCUGAAUCUUUUCGUGGUGUGUGUGUGUAAUAGAGAAAGAGAGGGAGUGGUCUAGUGGAUCACAAAUUUAUUAAGACCACACAACACUGUUUUGACCCAGGCGUGGGCAACCUGUGAUUCUGUAUGUCGCCCAACACCACCUUUUGUCGUACGUGAAGACCAUGUCUAAAGUGCAGUGCUCUGGCGCCCUUCCUCCCACCCUCAGCUGCACAGAGUGAUGUCCCAGACACCCUGGAGACAUUUGCAGGCAAGUUCUCUGCCAACCGAGACCAGGCACUCCCCUACGGCCAUUGGCACGUCUGCCAAACACAAGUACCCGGUACUUUUGCAGGAUCACAGCUUGGGCGCAUGGAAUAAAAGAAGCAUCUGCUAUGGAGCACAGUGUUUCUCUACAAACUUCAUGGGGAGAGUAUAUUCGGUCUCUGCCCCCCGGGGGGGGCAGGCUGGGCAUGGGCCAAGGUGUGUUUCCACUUGGAACUUGUUGAGGUGCCCAUGCUCCUCCUCUCCAGGGAGCCUUGAAAGUUUGGCCUUGUCAGAGUCACAAGGCUUUUGACAUGAGCAGAAGGGCCAGAGCUAAAGGGGUCUUUGCUGGGGUUUUGUGCUCCCUAUGGGGGUGGGAGAGAGAGACCCCAGCACAUUCCUCAAAGGGACCCUGGAAAUGAAUUUCAAUUUUAAAUAUCUGACAUGCAGAAAGACACCGCAGGCAGCGUGGGUCUUCUAUGCAACUUGUUGCCCCACCCCUCUGGAAUCAAGAUGUGGUAAAAGUGAUCAGCUUCUCUUUUUGAGGAUGAAAAUGUUAAGGCCAAGGCCGGCCCCCAUGAGGCAAAGUGAGGCAACUGCCUCAGGUGGCCGGAUCCACAGGGUAGCAGAUCCAAAUGUAGAUCUUUAUUCCCUGUAGUUCGAAAAAGCUUUUUGACACUGCCACUGGAGAAUUAAAAGCAAUUGAGCAACAAGAAGCUGGGGUCUUCCUUGACUCAUCAAACUUGAGCUCCACUGUGGCUCAUUUCCAAGGAUAAGUGGGCUGUAUCUCCAUUCCAUUCCAGGAAAACAGCUGACCUUGCACAGGCAUCUAAAAUUGGCUUUCAGGUUAUUAAAGUCUAAAGAGAUGCCUGUUUGCCAAUAUUCAUGAGUCAAUAGGACUUACUCCCAGGUAAAUGGGAUUGGGAUUGCAGGCUAAAUUGUAUACAGUGUGACGUUAAUGACAUACAUUUUAUAGAAAAUAAAAUCACUUGAACUGGAAUCGGGAUAGCUGGUGGAUUUUUGGACAGUUGCUUGUAACAAUGAAAAACAGGCUCUAUCUGAACAACUGUUAAAGGUGUCUGUGUGUACAUUUCCUUGUAAUUUUAAAAGCCUGUUCUGAAAGGAUACACUAAUAUUUGGGAGUACGAAUGCUUUGUGUGAUUCAGCAGUUGAUAAAAAGUGUAUGAGGGAUAUUUCUUGGGCAUCCUGAACUGGGCCUGUAGAUAUAUUUAGUUUUUGUGUGCAACAGCUGCAUUGUUUGACACAAAACUGUUCCGUGAUUUUAAAAACUUAGAAGGUUCACCGCAAAACUGGUUAUAUAUAGCUGUAGCAAAGGAGCCUUGUACCAGCAGCCUACGAAGAUCUUACUAGUGUCUGAGUGAAUAAAGGCAGAAUACUUCAGGAAAACAACACUUAAUUGGAAAAUAAGCUGCAGCGUAUUGGAAGGAAGAUUGCCACUAUCAUGUAUAAAGAGAGAGACAUAUAUUGAUAUAGAUGAAACCCAGUUCAAGGGGUUGAUCUUCUUUGGUGAUGCAGAAGGGGGCUGCCUAUUUAUCUGGGCUGCCAUUCAAGGCAACUGCUCUAGAACCCAGCAGCCUUGUUGAAGUUUUAAGUACAGUGUGGUAAGGAAAGGAAGCAAUUAAUUUCCAUCUGUAUUUUUUAAUUAUUUAACUUAAAAUAUUUAUUAUUCACUCUUCAUUGUAAGAACAGUCCUAAAGCAGCAUACAUAAAAUCAGAGCACAACAUAUACAGUAAAAUAAUACAUUUAUCAUACUAACAGCCAGGAGAACUAAAACAAUAAGUGUUCUUAAUAAUAAACAAAAGAAGAAGAAAGAAAAAGUCCCGAAAUAUAUGAUGUACUUUCUUUUGUCUGUCCCUAAUCUUCAGCUUCAUUGGAUGUCUACAAGAUUGAGUGUCAUGAGAGAGACAAAAACUGAAUACAAUAUUUGGUUCGGAUUCUGAUUUGCCGCUUCAAAAAAGAGUUUGAUUCAUUCUGAACCAAGUUAAAGGCUAUCUGAUGCAACUCGGGGUCUGAAUCUAAAUCCCAGUUCAAAAAACUGAAACUUUGUGCUUCCCCAUUCACUGUUAUGGGAUUAUUUUUAAUACUUUACAGAAGUGGAUGAAAUUGUGAGGCAUUGCAGCCCUUCUGUGUGGACAAAGCCUGAUAAAGUCCAGAUAAAUUGGGCUGGAUAGCUUUGAAAUCCCUCCCCCUGCCUGCAAAAGAAACUAUUUUGAGGGAGAACUGGAUGGGGCAAGAAGAGAAAAGAAUAUGAUGCUCUAGCACUAAUGGACCCAGAGAGGACUGAUAUUCUCAAACCAAGUGUGUCCCAAACACACUUCUCUUUUGGAUAAUUUGUACCUGUAUGAAGUUGCUUGGUGGCAUGACCGACACUCUUGGGUUCAAGAAGAUAUAUAGAUGUACAUGGCAUGCCAGGGUGCUCAAUGAAGAGACAAAAAGCUUCCCUGAUAAAUCAUCCUUGUUUAACAUUUAAAACCAGUGAUAAGAAAGAACUGUUCCCCAUCCCCCUUCACUCUUGCUGUUUCAGCUCUGGAGAGAUAAGAGAGAUCUGCUGGCCGUCAUAAAUUUUACAAAGAGAGUUACAAAGCAAGUGAGGAAACAAUUGACGGUUCUAUUUUCACGAAGCACUAGGAGAUUCUGGAAAAAGAAGAAGCUCUCAUUAAGCACAUUAAAAGGUGCUCAUGAGAGGGAACAGACCGGAAGGAGGAGGUGUUGGAAGCAGAAGAGGUACGGUUUAGUGAGCAGGAAGAAGCUGUGGCAGAGAACAGUUCAGACUCCAGGGCUGAAGCGAAAGUUGGAGAGGGCGGGGGGGACCAGAGGCUGGAGAAGAAGCCAGGGGGGUCUCCCCCUUGUGCUGCAACCAGCUCCCCUCUCCCCUGGUCUCCCAGGACACAGAGAGAAAUGAAAAGAGCAGAGCGGAGAAUGGUUGUGCACAGAGGCCGUUUGCAACUGGGAAACGCCCUGGAGAGGAGAAGCCUUAGAGAGCAGUGGGAAGGCCAUCAGUUCUCGCAAGUGCAGGCUGGCCCCCAGCAGAGACAUGGUGCAUGGUAGGUGGGGGGGGGGAUUUGGUGGGGCUCUCCACAGGGCUGGUGGGCUGCCCUGGGCAUGGAGGCUCUGCUGCUAGCUGCCCUGUUCAGCAGAUGGCAUGGGAGCCAACUCCUAGGGCCUGAGGGGUCUUUGACCCCCCAUAAAACAUUUGAGGGACCAGGCCCCCUCAAAGUUGAUGGGCAUUGCCAUUCAAAUGGUGUGCAUGCACCGCAUCAUGUGAUCAAUUAUAUGUGGUGGGUCUUACCUGCCCCCCUCCAAUAUUUUAUUUAAGUUGGCACCCCCAGCAGGUGGACUUGUGAGUGGCAGCUACCUGUCAGCGAGUGCAGUGGGUUCUACUAGAUGACCCUAUUGGGUCCCCUUCCAACUCUACAGAUCUCUCCCUACCCUUAGUUAAUUACCAGCCCAAAGGGGCCUUGUGUAUGGUGGGGGGGGACAGAGGUGGUGAGGAGGCUGAAGUGGCCAUUAGCCACCUCCCCCCACCCCCACUGUACACUUGUCUUCUGUGUUUAUUUACUGGCUUCACAAGAGUCUUGAAUCAUUUUGACUAGAAGCCUAAAAUAUUUUUAUUUUUACCUCCUUUUAAUUCUAUAUAUUUAAACAUAUAUAUUCAGUUCUGUACAUGAAAUGGUAUUGACUGCAUUGUGAACACUUUAAUUCACGAUACGGGGAUUUAUUUUGGUGUGUGGCUGGCUCGCUGUUUCUGUGGGGAAGUGCUCUUGCGGCCCACACGGUCUGAGAGGUUGGGCUGCCCUGCUGUAGCCGGCUGCGCCGGGUGGUUUGCAAUUGCUCACUAGUGCUCUGCAAGUCCAAGCGGAACAAAGGCCAAAUGAGGAUGCUUUAUUAAAUCAAUCCUGAAAAGAAAUCUGUGUAUCAAAUCCUUAGUGCUGUGAUCAAGCAGAAUAACUGGUCACGUGCAGUAAUGCUCAACAGUGACUCUUCUUUGUUGGUUGGAUGGAUGUGAAAGCACAGGUAAACACCUCCUGAUCCAUGCAAUUAGAGCUUUUGUGUUCAAUAGAACAGGUUGUGCUGAGUCUUGUUGCAUUGUUGUUCCUACAGGAUAAAUAUUGGAGGUCUGACCAUCCCCUGGUUACUUGUGCUCCUGGUGGGGCAUAGGUAGAAGAUGGAGUAUUGAAACCUGAGUGAAGAACCUGCUCUGCUUCUGUGCAAACUUAUUAAACCUUUACUUCCAGUCAUAGAUUAGAUUACUAUGAUACCCAGCAUCAUGCUUCCUUUUAUCCAUUAUGUUUAAAAAAAUGGUAAAGACGGAAUGAUGGAACGAUGUGGCAUUUGGAGACCAGAUGCAACUUGACUCAUGUAAAAGGCC